RNAcentral lists this ribosomal RNA (773 nucleotides) under uncultured Neocallimastigales. Its description in RNAcentral is "partial large subunit ribosomal RNA". It matches the Rfam family "Eukaryotic large subunit ribosomal RNA", at positions 23 to 644 of the family's 3401-position model. Lineage: Eukaryota; Fungi; Neocallimastigomycota; Neocallimastigomycetes; Neocallimastigales. The record is from RNAcentral.
AGACUCUGUGCGCGUGCAUAUCAAUAAGCGGAGGAAAAGAAACUAACAAGGAUUCCCUAGUAACGGCGAGUGAAGCGGGAAGAGCUCAAAUUUGAAAUCUUAAAGGUUCUACCUUGACGAAUUGUAGUUUAAAGAAGUGUUUUCUGUCGGAGUUUUGGUAAAAGUUCUUUGGAAUAGGACAUCAUAGAGGGUGAGAAUCCCGUAUUUGACCGUUACUUUCCAGCUGUGUGAUACACUUUCAAAGAGUCGGAUUGUUUGGGAAUGCAGUCCAAGAUGGGUGGUAAAUUUCAUCUAAAGCUAAAUAUUGGCGAGAGACCGAUAGCGAACAAGUACCGUGAGGGAAAGAUGAAAAGAACUUUGAAAAGAGAGUUAAACAGUACGUGAAAUUGUCAAAAGGGAAGCGUUUGACACCAGUGUUGUUUAGUUGAAAAUCAAUUCAAUAGUUUUUGAUUCUAAGUAGUAUUGACUUCAUCAGCUUGCUGCUUUCUUCUCAGAAAUUAUUGAAUGCACUUUUCAGUUAACAAGUCAACAUCAAUUUCUUUUGUUGUAAAAGGGUAAGAGGAAGGUGGCUUGCGCUUCGGCUCAAGUGUUUAUAGCCUUUUAUCUCUGCAAUCGGAGAGAUUGAGGUCUGCAGCGUAGAUCCUUCGGGGUUAGAUACAUUGGUGCUAAGCUAUAGCCUUGUAUAGACAACUUGUUGACUAUGCUCAGUCAUGUAGCUUACUCGCUUAUGCUAUUUUACCUACGCUUAGGAUGUUGAAUCUGUGCGAGACUAC